RNAcentral lists this long non-coding RNA (1822 nucleotides) under Homo sapiens (human). RNAcentral describes it as "HSALNT0331896". The record is from RNAcentral. Lineage: Eukaryota; Metazoa; Chordata; Mammalia; Primates; Hominidae.
UCUAGAGGCACUGGACUUCUGGGCCCUGUGGGGCCAGCAGCAACCUCUCUGAUGAGUAGGCUGGGGUUGGCCAAGGCCAGGUGCUCCCAGCCCCAGAGCUCUGGGUCUUCCCCUGUAGGGCACAGUGCCUGCAAUUAACACAAGCUUCUGGGAGCUCACUCCCAGAAAAAAAGACUUCUUUGAAUUCUGCUCCCAGCUUAGGGUCAGCUAAUGCCAUCUGUGGUGGCUGGUACAGGGUGAUAAUCGGCUCUGAAGCCAUCUCUUUGAGCCCUAGGAUAGAUGCCAGUCUGCACCAGAGCAGGCAGAAUAUCCAGGCUGCAGCCCUGCCAGGAAUUGCUCUCAGGAAAUAGAACACCCCCACCCCCUCUUUUCUUUUGUUUAAACUUAAACUGGGAAGAUGCUGAGUUGCAGGGUUAUGAGGAAGGGAGUAUAGGACUGUUGCAGCUUUAUAUGCUGAUAUUUUCAUUUUUUUAAAUUCCUGAUCAUGAAAAAAGCAAUACAAGAGUGAUUUUUAAAAUAAUCACUUUGCAUUCUUGUCAGAGCAAUGGAUUGCAAAGCGACAGUGACCCGACAUUGCCUCCAAAUGUUCCAGCCUCUGCCCUCCUUAGCGCCUGAUCUGUCUCUGGUUGAGGCGGACUCUGCUGUUUGUCCAACAUGGGGCAAUGCUGGCUAUUUCUCUGUAGGAAUCCAAGCGCUUAUUAGGAGAAGGUGGAGGGGUAUGAUGGGAACAGCUCCAGACGAGAUGGGAGAGCUUUGGGGUAAAACCUUUAUGAAGAUUAGAAAGCAAGUCUCCCUCAUGUUGCAAACCCCAUAGUGAUUUUAUGGCAGCUUGGAAGAGAGGAUUCCAGAGACAAAUUGCUUUUGAGAGGGUGGACGCUGGGCCAUACGUUUAUCACUGGGCAGGAGUCCACCUGUCCCGAGUUGGAAGUCUGAACUCAUGUUCCUGGAUUCCUCCCAUGCAUCUUGGUGCUGGUGUGGGGCCUGAACUCAGCCAAUCCGCAACACCUCCAGGAGUCUUCCUCUUAGAUGCUGAGGCCACGGAGAAGGAAGCAGCACAAAGAAUGAACCCUGGAGAGGGUGCCAGAGGCAGGCGGGUUCCAGCCAUGUGGCGGCACAGCCUUACUGGGAUAGUCUAGCUGUGUCACUCAGAUGGGGAAGCCAGGCUCCAGCAGUUACAAAACAAGGUCCCAUGACCCCUAGACCCUACUUGCAAAGCUGGGAUUGACGCAAGCUCAUCUAACUCCAAAACCCAAGCUCUUCCCACUGUGACAAGGGAGGGGACAAAUAGGAAAAGGCAGUUUGAGCUUUUCUGGGAAAGGAAAGAAAUGAAUACCUUGGCCUUUGUCCAGAUGUGGCCUGCAGAAUAAAUCCUAUGUGGCAAGGCCGCUUAACCUCUGCCGGGGCUGUGUCAUUACGGUGAUUCUUCACACUAGUUAAAUGCCACGGUGAGGAUGGCACGGGGGAAGAAGAGCUCACGGCAGGCGCCAUCUCCAGAAAGGAUCCACUGCAGGUGGUUGGUGAGUCCAGAUGGCUCCCCCAGAUGACACUGCUGGGUGGCAACCUAAUUAUUUUUCAUUAACUUUUAAUUAUGGAACAUUUCAAACGUGUGCACAAUUAAAGAGAGUCGUACAAUGAACCUCGUGUGUCCGAAACUCAACUUCGACAACGAUCAACUAAAUGCCCAAUCUUGUUUUAUCUGUAUCUCCACACACUUCCCCCUCAUUCAGGAUUAUUUCAAAACAAACCCUGGAUUUAAUCAUUCUAGAUUUAAUAAUUUUAUUCACUACUAUUUCAGUAUGUAUGUCUAAAAGAUAACAAUAUC